RNAcentral lists this ribosomal RNA (497 nucleotides) under uncultured bacterium. RNAcentral's name for it is "partial 16S ribosomal RNA". It matches the Rfam family "Bacterial small subunit ribosomal RNA", at positions 28 to 507 of the family's 1533-position model. The record is from RNAcentral.
GAUGGACGCUGGCGGCGUGCCUAAUACAUGCAAGUCGAGCGAACAGACGAGGAGCUUGCUCCUCUGACGUUAGCGGCGGGCGGGUGAGUAACACGUGGAUAACCUACCUAUAAGACUGGGAUAACUUCGGGAAACCGGAGCUAAUACCGGAUAAUAUAUUGAACCGCAUGGUUCAAUAGUGAAAGACGGUUUUGCUGUCACUUAUAGAUGGAUCCGCGCCGCAUUAGCUAGUUGGUAAGGUAACGGCUUACCAAGGCGACGAUGCGUAGCCGACCUGAGAGGGUGAUCGGCCACACUGGAACUGAGACACGGUCCAGACUCCUACGGGAGGCAGCAGUAGGGAAUCUUCCGCAAUGGGCGAAAGCUUGACGGAGCAACGCCGCGUGAGUGAUGAAGGUCUUCGGAUCGUAAAACUCUGUUAUUAGGGAAGAACAAAUGUGUAAGUAACUAUGCACGUCUUGACGGUACCUAAUCAGAAAGCCACGGCUAACUACGUG